AGAUCAAAAGCACUUUGAAAAGAGGGUGAAAAGAACCUGAAACCGUUACGAAAGAAGCGUAUUGCGUUGAAUUGAUGGCUGUUUAACUCUUCAGCUGGGCGUGAGUCUAGUGUACUGAGCUAAGUAGUUAUCCGUCGUGCCUUUUCUGUGGCUGAUUUUGAGCCGCGGGAGAGGGAGGGAUCCCCUUUAUGGGUGAGGACGAUGGAGUGGCAACGCGAUGCGACCCGUCUUGAAACACGGACCAAGGAGUCUAAUACGUUUGCGAGUUGAAGGGUGGUAAACCUGGAGGCGCAGUGAAAGCGAACUUCUAAAACGGACAGUUUGUGGCGGCAUAAAAUCGUUGAUUUUAGGUCUGACUAAGAGCAAAUGUGUUAGGACCCGAAAGAUGGUGAACUAUGCUUGAGUAGGCCGAAGGCAGAAGAAAUUCUGCUGGAGGGCCGAAGCGGUGCUGACGUGCAAAUCGCUCGUCGAACUCGAGUAUAGGGGCGAAAGACUAAUCGAACCAUCUAGUAGCUGGUUCCCUCCGAAGUUUCUCUCAGGAUAGCGGGCCGACAAUUAUUGUUUUGUGCGGUAAAGCGAAUGAUUAGCGCACUCGGGGGCAUUCAGCCUUCGGUCGAUUCUCAAACUUUUAAUGCGCAAGGGUGCUGCAGCUUAGGUGUGCGGCACCUUUAAAAAUGUCGGCCUUGUGGGCCACUUUUGGUAAGCAG
This 707-nucleotide ribosomal RNA is filed under the name Lomentaria clavellosa. RNAcentral describes it as "eukaryotic LSU rRNA". It matches the Rfam family "Eukaryotic large subunit ribosomal RNA", at positions 362 to 1147 of the family's 3401-position model. Lineage: Eukaryota; Rhodophyta; Florideophyceae; Rhodymeniales; Lomentariaceae. The record is from RNAcentral.